RNAcentral lists this ribosomal RNA (371 nucleotides) under Rickettsiales bacterium. Its description in RNAcentral is "bacterial SSU rRNA". It matches the Rfam family "Bacterial small subunit ribosomal RNA", at positions 1 to 383 of the family's 1533-position model. Lineage: Bacteria; Pseudomonadati; Pseudomonadota; Alphaproteobacteria; Rickettsiales. The record is from RNAcentral.
AUCAAACUUAAGAGUUUGAUCCUGGCUCAGAGCGAACGCUGGCGGCAGGCUUAACACAUGCAAGUCGAACGAGAAACUAGACUUCGGUUUAGUGGAAAGUGGCAGACGGGUGAGUAACGCGUGGGAAUCUACCUUUGAGUGGGGAAUAACAACUAGAAAUGGUUGCUAAUACCGCAUAUACCCUAAGGGGGAAAGGCUUCGGCCGCUCUUAGAUGAGCCCGCGUACGAUUAGUUUGUUGGUGAGGUAAAGGCUCACCAAGACUACGAUCGUUAGCUGGUUUGAGAGGAUGAUCAGCCACACUGGGACUGAGACACGGCCCAGACUCCUACGGGAGGCAGCAGUGGGGAAUAUUGGACAAUGGGCGAAAGCC